AGCAGCGUGGCCUAGUGGUUUGAGUGUUGGACCACGACUCUGGAGACCAGGGUUCGAUUCCCAGCUUGGCGA
Molecule: transfer RNA, 72 nt
Filed under: Phrynosoma platyrhinos (Desert horned lizard)
Lineage: Eukaryota; Metazoa; Chordata; Lepidosauria; Squamata; Phrynosomatidae
Description: tRNA-OTHER
Source: RNAcentral